GUGGGGAAUAUUGGACAAUGGGGGGAACCCUGAUCCAGUCAUGCCGCGUGUGUGAAGAAGGCCUUUUGGUUGUAAAGCACUUUAAGCGAGGAGGAGGCUACCGAGAUUAAUACUCUUGGUUAGUGGACGUUACUCGCAGAAUAAGCACCGGCUAACUCUGUGCCAGCAGCCGCGGUAAUACAGAGGGUGCACGCUUUAAUCGGAUUUACUGGGCGUACAGCGCGCGUAGGUGGCCAAUUAAGUCAAAUGUGAAAUCACCGAGCUUAACUUGGGAAUUGCAUUCGAUACUGGUUGGCUAGAGUAUGGGAGAGGAUGGUAGAAGUCCAGGUGUAGCGGUGAAAUGCGUAGAGAUCUGGAGGAAUACCGAUGGCGAAGGCAGCCAUCUGGCCUAAUACUGACACUGAGGUGCGAAAGCAUGGGGAGCAAACAGGAUUAGAUACCCGAGUAGUCC
Molecule: ribosomal RNA, 451 nt
Filed under: uncultured bacterium
Lineage: Bacteria
Description: partial 16S ribosomal RNA
Rfam family: Bacterial small subunit ribosomal RNA
Source: RNAcentral